RNAcentral lists this ribosomal RNA (397 nucleotides) under uncultured bacterium. RNAcentral describes it as "partial 16S ribosomal RNA". It matches the Rfam family "Bacterial small subunit ribosomal RNA", at positions 523 to 918 of the family's 1533-position model. The record is from RNAcentral.
AUACGUAGGUGCCAAGCGUUAUCCGGAUUUACUGGGCGUAAAGGGCGUGUAGGCGGUCUUGCAAGUCAGAAGUGAAAUUCCUGAGCUCAACUCGGGCGCUGCUUCUGAAACUGCAGGACUUGAGUGCUGGAGGGGAUAGCGGAAUUCCUAGUGGAGCGGUAAAAUGCGCAGAUAUUAGGAAGAACACCGGUGGCGAAGGCGGCUAGCUGGACAGUAACGGACGAUGAGGCGCGAAAGCGUGGGGAGCAAACAGGAUUAGAGACCCUGGUAGUCCACGCCAUAAACGAUGAAGACUAGGUGUAGGGGGUAUCGACCCCCUCUGUGCCGACGUUAACCCAUUAAGUAUUCCACCUGGGGAGUACGGCCGCAAGGCUGAAACUCAAAUGAAUUGACGGGG